AACGAACGCUGGCGGCAGGCCUAACACAUGCAAGUCGAACGCCCUAGCAAUAGGGAGUGGCGCACGGGUGCGUAACACGUGGGAAUGUACCCCAGGGUAAGGAAUACUGUCUGGAAACGGACACUAAUACCUUAUAAUGACCUUGGUCCAAAGAUUUAUCGCCCUGGGAUCAGCCCGCGUCUGAUUAGCUAGGUGGUGAGGUAAUGGCUCACCAAGGCAACGAUCAGUAGCUGGUCUGAGAGGAUGAUCAGCCACACUGGAACUGAGACACGGUCCAGACUCCUACGGGAGGCAGCAGUGAGGAAUAUUGCACAAUGGAGGAAACUCUGAUGCAGCCAUGCCGCGUGAGUGAAGAAGGCCUUCGGGUUGUAAAGCUCUUUUAGUCGUGAAGAUAAUGACGGUAGCGACAGAAAAAGCCCCGGCUAAAUUCGUGCCAGCCGCCGCCGUAA
RNAcentral lists this ribosomal RNA (449 nucleotides) under uncultured bacterium. RNAcentral's name for it is "partial 16S ribosomal RNA". It matches the Rfam family "Bacterial small subunit ribosomal RNA", at positions 29 to 523 of the family's 1533-position model. The record is from RNAcentral.